GAUGAACGCUAGCGGCAGGCCUAAUACAUGCAAGUCGAGGGAGAAUGUUGGAUUCGUCUGACAUGAAACCGGCGCACGGGUGCGUAACACGUAUGCAACCUACCUUUAACUGGGGUAUAGCUCAGAGAAAUCUGAAUUAAUCCCCCAUAAGACUACGACGUGGCAUCAUGAUGUAGUUAAAGCUCCGGCGGUUAAGGAUGGGCAUGCGGUACAUUAGCUAGUUGGUGAGGUAAUGGCUCACCAAGGCUACGAUGUAUAGGGGGUCUGAGAGGAUGAUCCCCCACACUGGAACUGAGACACGGACCAGACUCCUACGGGAGGCAGCAGUAGGGAAUAUUGGUCAAUGGACGCAAGUCUGAACCAGCCAUGCCGCGUGAAGGAUGAAGGCCCUAUGGGUCGUAAACUUCUUUUAUUAGGGAAGAAAAAACGGGAUGCGUCCUGUACUGACGGUACUUAAUGAAUAAGGAUCGGCUAACUUCGUGCCAGCAGCCGCAGUAA
RNAcentral lists this ribosomal RNA (498 nucleotides) under uncultured bacterium. RNAcentral's name for it is "partial 16S ribosomal RNA". It matches the Rfam family "Bacterial small subunit ribosomal RNA", at positions 28 to 523 of the family's 1533-position model. The record is from RNAcentral.